CGGUACCUACGGGGGGCAGCAGUGAGGAAUAUUGGUCGAUGGGCGGGAGCCUGAACCAGCCAAGCCGCGUGAGGGAAGAAGGUACAGCGUAUCGUAAACCUCUUUUGUCAGGGAACAAAGGCGGGGACUAGUCCCCGGAUGAGGGUACCUGAAGAAAAAGCAUCGGCUAACUCCGUGCCAGCAGCCGCGGUAAUACGGAGGAUGCGAGCGUUAUCCGGAUUUAUUGGGUUUAAGGGUGCGCAGGCGGCCUGUUAAGGCAGCGGUAAAAGCCCGGGGCCAAACCCCGG
RNAcentral lists this ribosomal RNA (287 nucleotides) under uncultured bacterium. RNAcentral's name for it is "partial 16S ribosomal RNA". It matches the Rfam family "Bacterial small subunit ribosomal RNA", at positions 333 to 618 of the family's 1533-position model. The record is from RNAcentral.